GAUGAACGCUGGCGGCGUGCCUAAUACAUGCAAGUCGAGCGAACAGACGAGGAGCUUGCUCCUCUGACGUUAGCGGCGGACGGGUGAGUAACACGUGGAUAACCUACCUAUAAGACUGGGAUAACUUCGGGAAACCGGAGCUAAUACCGGAUAAUAUAUUGAACCGCAUGGUUCAAUAGUGAAAGACGGUUUUGCUGUCACUUAUAGAUGGAUCCGCGCCGCAUUAGCUAGUUGGUAAGGUAACGGCUUACCAAGGCAACGAUGCGUAGCCGACCUGAGAGGGGGAUGGGCCCACUGGGAACUGAGACCGGGCCCAGGUCCCAAGGGGAGGCAGCAGGAGGGAAUCUUCCGAAAGGGGCGAAAGCCUGACGGAGCAACGCCGCGGGAGGGAUGAAGGUCUUGGGAUCGUAAAACCCUUUUAUGAGGGAAGAAAAAAUGUGUAAGUAACUAUGCACGUUUUGACGGUACCAAAUCAAAAAGCCCCGGCUAACUACGU
RNAcentral lists this ribosomal RNA (496 nucleotides) under uncultured bacterium. Its description in RNAcentral is "partial 16S ribosomal RNA". It matches the Rfam family "Bacterial small subunit ribosomal RNA", at positions 28 to 506 of the family's 1533-position model. The record is from RNAcentral.